RNAcentral lists this transfer RNA (84 nucleotides) under Salinisphaera shabanensis E1L3A. It matches the Rfam family "tRNA". From Rfam's summary of the family: Transfer RNA (tRNA) molecules are approximately 80 nucleotides in length. The record is from Rfam by way of RNAcentral. Lineage: Bacteria; Pseudomonadati; Pseudomonadota; Gammaproteobacteria; Salinisphaerales; Salinisphaeraceae.
GCCCGGAUGGCGAAAUUGGUAGACGCAUGGGACUUAAAAUCCCUUGGCCUAACGGCCGUGCCGGUUCGAGUCCGGCUCCGGGCA